AACGCGUGGGGAACCUGCCCCAUAGUCUGGGAUACCACUUGGAAACAGGUGCUAAUACCGGAUAAGAAAGCGGAUCGCAUGAUCAGCUUUUAAAAGGCGGCGUAAGCUGUCGCUAUGGGAUGGCCCCGCGGUGCAUUAGCUAGUUGGUAAGGUAAAGGCUUACCAAGGCGAUGAUGCAUAGCCGAGUUGAGAGACUGAUCGGCCACAUUGGGACUGAGACACGGCCCAAACUCCUACGGGAGGCAGCAGGC
RNAcentral lists this ribosomal RNA (251 nucleotides) under uncultured Lactobacillus sp. RNAcentral's name for it is "partial 16S ribosomal RNA". It matches the Rfam family "Bacterial small subunit ribosomal RNA", at positions 112 to 354 of the family's 1533-position model. Lineage: Bacteria; Bacillati; Bacillota; Bacilli; Lactobacillales; Lactobacillaceae. The record is from RNAcentral.